CCACUGCGGUCGUCUUUUCCGGCACACCCGCCGCCACGACUUUCUUUCCAUUCCACCUACUCGCGCUCCCUCCCACUCCUCCCCACCCGAGGCCAAAUCCGCACUCGUCCGGUAUAUUACCGAACCGCCGCCGUUUAUCAAGCCGUACAAAUUUCCAUCGGUGAAAUCCGGCACGCGUUUAUAGACGGGAAAUCGGAGGAACG
This is a non-coding RNA of Cinara cedri, 203 nucleotides long. The record is from the annotation of a GenBank genome assembly. Lineage: Eukaryota; Metazoa; Arthropoda; Insecta; Hemiptera; Aphididae.